This is a non-coding RNA of Danio rerio (zebrafish), 2568 nucleotides long. NCBI's taxonomy places the organism in Eukaryota, Metazoa, Chordata, Actinopteri, Cypriniformes, Danionidae. The record is from RefSeq and is a predicted model, not a curated record.
AUCGUUUUGUUUCUGUAAAUCAGCGCCAGUGUUUUGUGCCUGCUAGUAAUGAUGUGUGUAGUAAUGUCGGCUAACGCUAGCUAACUAUAUUAUGGACAUAACGUGGCUAUAUUUUGAUGAAACUUGGUCAGUACUUUAUUAUUUUCAAGACUUUUGUCACGUUAAAAUUGAGGAAAAACUUUAGUGUAGCAGUAACGUUAACAGUCGCUCGCGCCCACCUGCCGUCAGUAACAUUUGUCAUCGAGUACUGACUAACGUUAGCAGCUAGCAUGAUGAUGACAGACUGAUCCCGGCGGUUUGGGAGUUUCCUGAGUUUUAUAACUGUUGUUUGUAAGCUCAGGCAGAACAUCAGAACAAGUCUGGAUGUAUAAUUUUAUUUUAAGAUAGUCCUUAAAGACUAUGCUAAUUUUAGCUACCAACAAUAACAGUCUGUGCUUAUCAAAAACAGGAUUAACGUUACCACUCUGUGUCGACAUAUGAUUGGGGAUAUCACCACAGUCAACUAACUUAAUGUUAUUUUAUUUAACACUUGGCACUUUAUAGUCAAUAUUCGUAGCUGUGCUGUUUCCAUGUUUACCAUAGUACCGACUACCCAGAUCAGUCUUGGUUCGCUACAGACAAGAGUGUUUACCUGUCUGAAAAGAUCUUUACACUCAGUUUAUCAUAGUCUGCUAUGAUAGGGAACAUAUUUGCUGGCAUACUCAGUGGCUUACAUUAUUCUUUAAGGUCAUCUUGUACAUAAUAUGUUCAUUUUAAUACUGGGAGCUGUCAUUGUGGGUUAUAGGCCUAUGUUACAGCUUUCACAUGUACUUGGUUGUGCUAAAUUGUUGAAUUUUUAUUUAACAGUUUCCUUCCAGGCAGAUGGUGAUCAAUCCACACAUUCCAUAAUCCCAGCAAUAAAAGAUUUUCAAACAGUUAUCAAAAUGGACCAGAGGUUGUUACUGAGAGUCAUCAUCGCUGAAGAUGAUAUAACAUUGUCAUCACCCACCACAACAUUAGACACUGAGGGCAGCACAGCAGACACUGAGAUCCUGUCGCCUGUAGGAGCAUCACCAUUGCUAAGACAACAGUGACCAGAGUUCUUUGACAUACCCAAUUAGCACUCUUCAUAGAGAGACAGGUGUUUGCUGAGUUUAAUAAAAUCGCCAGUAAGAAUCUUGAGAGAGACUUCUUUGAGGCUCUGGACCAGGAUGCCCCACGGUUCAUUGAACUUUUCAAAACAAAAAAGGGGAACUGUUGGCCAGAAACUCAGGGAGCUGAUGCAGCACAUGAGCUGGAUUACAACAGAGCGAAGUACUGUGACGUUUGUUGUCCUCAAAGGCAUUCCCAUUUUACUCGGUGAUGACUCCAGUGAAUUCUACAAGACCUGCUCUGAUAAAGAGAGAGACGAGGCCCUAGAAUGCAUCACUGUUGGUGUGCUGACAGUUGUCAGUGAAGAUAGUCCUCACAAGGGUCAAAGCUCAGUGGACCUCCAGCCCAUCUCCACUGCCAUCAUUCUGGAGGGAGGUGUUGUCAUGGAUCAUAUUAAAAACUUGCCUCAGGCAGUUUGUCUUUUGUUUGGUCUUUCAUAUGCAUUGCAUUUGGAUUACCCAAAAUGCAUGGCAAAUACACUCAACUUCAUUCAGACUGUGAUGCUUGGACUGGUAAAGAAAAACUUUCCACCAAAACUGUUAACUCUGAAGGACAAUCUUCUGGGUUAGAACAGUAAAGAGCAUCUCAGUAAAGAGUCAUCUGUCAGAUAGCACUUUGUAAGCUUUGCAGCCAUUAAUGUUCUCCUCUUAUCAGAGAAAGUUUGAUGCUUUUUUUCCCAUUUACGUUCUCAAUGGAAAAAAAGAAUAUUCCAUUAAAGUCUACCAUGUUAUGCAGGUAUGCUAAUGGUGGAAAUAGUGCCACGUUGUGUUGCAAUGAGUUGUUAGUUGUUAUUAGAUGAUAAUGUCAGAAAAAAACCUAGCAAGGUUAUCCUGUUUACAUUUGUGUUUUGGGAAAACUUUUAAUGAUGUUUUUAUUUGUGUUGGUUUAAUCCUUGGACUGCUCACUUUGGGACACAAAAGUAUUUGUUGUACUUUCGGUUUUGAUCAGAAAUGCACUGAUUUUGCAUGCACUGAAGUCGUCCUGUAGUUAACAGUUUAAUAUUGGGAGACAUGCAUACAAUUAGCUCACAGAAAUGUUUUUAUGUUAUUUUUUUAAAUAUUUUUCCUUGUCAUUUUAUACAGUUAAAUCAAACCACAACUUUGUUGUUUAGCUGCUGUUUUGUACUUGAAUGUGCAUUUAAUAAAUUUUGUAAUGGAGCUGAAUCAAACCAGUGAGUGUUCUUUUAAAUUAUAUGUUUGUGUUGUGUUUGCCUUUAUCACAUAGUAACAGCAAAAAUAGAUAAAUGGGGAAGAGAAAAGGCCACAUGUUGCAGCUGCCCAGGUUUGGGUCCAACAAGGACCCAUUAAAGGAAAUUGGUUUCUUUAAUUUAAGUGAAAAAUGAGUGAGCAGAACUGAUAGUGUUAAGUUGUAGGUAUUUAGUAAUUCUAAGUGGGGUUAAAUUUAUAUCAAGCAAUCAACACAAAAUAAAAAAAUUAA